AUAACACCAAAGCUCUAGGUCCGAAAGUCGAAAAACCCUAGAAUUUGAAGAACUCGUCGGAAUAAAACCAGGGAUGCCGGAAAAUUACCCAAAACACCCCCUGAUACAAGAUCGGAACCUUGAAUAACAGGAAAGUUCCGAUUAUCCGUUCAACAUUCGUUGAAACAUCUCCAAAUAGUAUCUCUCAUCGGUAACCAUAAAAAAACUUCAGCAAAAGCUUCGAACAGGAUCGAUAACACGCAACCGAGAAGGAUCCGAAGAUCAUCCGGCUCUGAUACCAUGAAAACGUGAAGAUUAAGCUGAAGAACAUGAAAGAUAUAGUGAGAGAAA
RNAcentral lists this long non-coding RNA (330 nucleotides) under Nicotiana benthamiana. Its description in RNAcentral is "long non-coding RNA (NBEN_LNC010616)". Lineage: Eukaryota; Viridiplantae; Streptophyta; Magnoliopsida; Solanales; Solanaceae. The record is from RNAcentral.